Molecule: long non-coding RNA, 141 nt
Organism: Archocentrus centrarchus (flier cichlid)
Lineage: Eukaryota; Metazoa; Chordata; Actinopteri; Cichliformes; Cichlidae
Exons: 3
Source: RefSeq, a predicted model, not a curated record
CAUCAAUCAAGUGACCCACACUGAAAAGCCAACAGUAGUCAAAGAUGGCUAUCUGCUCUGUCCAGCUCUUCGUCUACAAGAGGUUGGACAAUCAGUCGAGGUGCUGGUCAGCUUGAACAAUGGAAAGUCCUACAUCUCCAG